ACUUUUAACUUAAAAUGUUUCACUUUCCAAAUUUUUAACUUUUGAAACUUUUACAUUUUUUAAACUAUCUUAGACGAGUUAAGGGGAGACUUUUUAACGUUUUACAUGUUUUUAUUUCUGAUUUUAGUUAUAGAAAGGCCUUUUAAACUUUUUUUUUUGAAUUGUUUUUCACAUUAAUUACUUCAUUUUUUUAUGUAUUAUAUUUUUUCUACGUCAUAAUCGUGAGGCAACAACAGAAAACAGACGAGUUCAUUUUAUGUGGCGAAAGCAGCUCAUCCACAGUCCACUGACCAAAGACAUCCUCUCUUCGGCCAUGUACCAGCCAAAUGCCGCCUUAAGUCCAGGAAAAGUUUUCUGAAAAGUGUCCCACCCCUCAGAACGCCGAACACAGGCAGUGAAAGAGUCACUCGGCGGGAAGAAAGACUUGACAAUCUUCCACCAGAAACUACAAUGGAGCUUAAAGCAAGCGAGGCAAUGACCCCAGGAGCAGACACCAACUAUGUAUGCAACGUGGAAAUGCCUAAAUAGACUAAGAUCUGGUGUUGGACGUGCAAAAGUCACUCUCGCCAAAUGGGGACAUCUGGAGGAUCGGAACAGCGAGUGUGACUGUGGCACUGAACCACAGACCAUGCAACACCUCCUCAUGUGCCCCUGCUGGAACAUCCCUGCACAGCAUCGAAUUUAGCAGAGUUUAACGAGAAGGGACAGAAAUGUGUUCAGCUGUGGCUCAACCACAUCUAGCCAAGCCUGUAACUAACUGCCUUGUAGCCACGAUAAGAAGAAGCUCAUCCCAGAAUCGAGGCCAGAGGUAGCCAUGACAUAUUACUUUAUUGUAAUAGGGCAACAGUUUCAAGAACACCUGUACAAGGGAGGCCUGCAUCAUGGAACACAAACUCCCAAACACACGACUUCUCCUGCUUCUUCUGUGAGUAGCCAAGAAGCACAGCGAGAGCCACGCAUUUCAAGAAGACUUGUACAAGGGAGGCCUGCAUCAUGGAACACAAACUCCCAAACACACAUGACUUCUCCUGAUUCUUCUCACAGCGAGAGCCACGCAUUUCAAGAAGACUUGUACAAGGGAGGCCUGCAUCAUGGAACACAAACUCCCAAACACACAUGACUUCUCCUGCUUCAUCUUAUGUUCCUGGGUCUUGCCUGUGGUUCUACAUGCAUCCAGUCAUGCAGACAGAGAACACCUUAGCCUUUAACUGUCGGAAGCUGUCCCUCUGCGAGGCCUCAUAGUAUAGUCUGUUUUCUGUUCUCAUUCAUUU
Syngnathus typhle (broad-nosed pipefish) is the source of this 1271-nucleotide long non-coding RNA. RefSeq lists it as uncharacterized. The transcript is spliced from 6 exons. Lineage: Eukaryota; Metazoa; Chordata; Actinopteri; Syngnathiformes; Syngnathidae. The record is from RefSeq and is a predicted model, not a curated record.